This is a non-coding RNA of Penaeus vannamei (Pacific white shrimp), 1029 nucleotides long. NCBI's taxonomy places the organism in Eukaryota, Metazoa, Arthropoda, Malacostraca, Decapoda, Penaeidae. The record is from RefSeq and is a predicted model, not a curated record.
CUUUUUGGUUUGAGAAUUAAAUGUAAAUUCAGUUUAAAACUUCUACACUUACGGUGUCCGAAUCAUGAUUAAAUUCCCAAUUCCUCACAAGAUCCGCAAGAGGGUAUUCUCUCUUUGUAUACAUAGUUUUUUAAUGGGUAAUGGGAUGGUACACGUAGACGCUCAUUAAAAACAAAUGUGUCGGGGCUUAAAAAAUCUAAAAAGAAGAAAGAAAACGGGUCAUUUAAAGAGAAAACGGGAAACGUAAAAGAAAGCACGGCGCUUAUGCACCAAGCACCCAGUUAAUUCCUCACGCUCCACACCCUUUUCUAAGCAUGUGUAUUUUUUCUCUUUUUGUCUCUUCUAGCUCUUUUGCAACACAACCCAGUGCAAAAUAUUCACAGACUAGAACGGAACCCCUGCUCGUGGGUACCAACUUUGCCUGGAAGAAAUGAAACGGAAUGGGAAUCGUACUGGGACUCAUGAGGUGUGACUAAAUCAAAAAUAUCAGUGGAAGCGUGUAAGAAAAGCACCAACUUUUGCUCUGUUCUAGACUCUGAUUUCACCGAGUCUGCCUAUUCCCACAUCUACGGACGGCUGCCACUUCCCAACCGGGGCUACCUCCCCCCACCCCCGCCCCAUCCCGUGCCAUGGUACGUGGGGGAGUGGGACUAGAGGUCAAGUAAGGUCAUGCAAGAAGGAUUAAUCAUGGAAAAAAAAGAGAAGAAUACACAAGAAGAGUCAUUUUUCAAGAGGAUGUUCGCCGAUCCAUUUCGUCUCGAGCGGUGCUUCGAGACAGGAUUCCCGAAGCCUUUUGUUUUGGAGUCGGAACCUCUGUGACCUUACUCUCGCUCCGGGGUUUUUAUUCGGCCUUCUUUUUGAAAUGUUCUGAUCACUCGAAAAAAGAAGCGGAAGUAAAACAAAAAUUAAGAGAAGAGCAAACAUAUAAAUAUACAUAUAUUAUUAUUCUCGCUAUUAACUUCUCGUCUGUCUAAUUUUCCCGCCGAAAAUUAAACUGACUUGAACCAGAAAGAACUUGCAUAUGUGUGC